Astatotilapia calliptera (eastern happy) is the source of this 1217-nucleotide long non-coding RNA. The record is from Ensembl. Lineage: Eukaryota; Metazoa; Chordata; Actinopteri; Cichliformes; Cichlidae.
GGGGGCUUAUGUGUUCUCUCCCAGAUUGGUAAACUCUGACAGAAACAAAAGGAAGCAAUUACAGAAUGCAAAUCUAGUGAACGACUCAAACGCUGAUGAAUAAAUAUAUUUGAUAUUAUGGUGAUGAAAUGCAGCUUUAAAGCUUUCCCAUUGUUGCUAUUCAUUCUUUCUCUACCAUUUUAAAAAUAAACGCUUGAGAUUUUUUAAAUGUUUUAGAUCUUCUGUGUUAUUCCUAAAACUUCAAUUACUUAUGUAAAAACUAAGCUCUACGUUCAGAAUAAUGACAUUAAAUUGCAGCCUUUUUUGAGAAUACUUGUAGCCAGGUUUGAUUCAACAGUUUCUGUGGCUUUGUUGGUUUCAUUGGAAAUCGUGUACUUAUAUUGGCACUUUUGUUUCAAAUGUUUUCACAGUAUUGUAAGUAAAAUCACUCUUUUUUUAAUGCAAUGAGCCAAGGCAGGCGACUUUGAAGGAAAAGAGGCUGAGAAAGCAGAGAAAGACACACACAGUGGGAGCAGAAUUUUUCACUCUGCUUACAUUCUUUGUAUCGAUUCAGAAACAUUUACAUGGGAAGGUUCACAUUAGAUUUUGCCAAUAAAUCUUUGAGGGUAAUGCACAGAAACAAUAAAAUGAUCAAAGACAAAAAUAAUUAAAGGUCAGAUAUAAAGAUAUGCAUUAAUAACCAGCCCAAAAAAAUGGAAACAUCAGUAACCCCAUCCGGUUUCCUGCACCAGAAAUAUGUGACGCUGCCACGAUACAAAAAUGAACCUGGGAAAUAAUAUUCACAGGUACAUUCCCCAUUUAAAAACUCUUUCUGUCUUUGAUGCAAUGCAGUCCAAUUAUAGUUCGAUCAACCCAGGUCUAGUCUUGCUCCUCUUCGAUCUCCUCUUUUUGAAUGGGGAGGUCAGGGUUUCCUGCACCGGUGUCCAGCACCUGCAAGUUGGACAGGUAUUUGAAGGAACUCUCAUCUACGGCGUCCACAGACAGGGGGUUAAACCUUAAAUUAAAAAAACAAGAAGAACAAAAACAAAACCAGAUAGUUAAUUGAAGUAGUCUUUUAAUUACAAAUUUUAAAGGCUCAAAGCAAAAUAAACAAAACAAUGAUCAACAGUCACAUCUAUAAAAAUCUGUACAGCUGAGCAUUGAGCAGAAGAAUGUAUGCUACGUAUGCUACCCAUUCUCUUAUUUUAACACCGUCAAGCUCACAGGUGUCCACUGAC